Long non-coding RNA from Myotis brandtii (Brandt's bat), 340 nucleotides. RefSeq lists it as uncharacterized. Lineage: Eukaryota; Metazoa; Chordata; Mammalia; Chiroptera; Vespertilionidae. The record is from RefSeq and is a predicted model, not a curated record. The transcript has 3 exons.
UGCUGGGAGCUGUGGCUGGAGCUGUGAUGUGGGGGAGGAGGUGCUCAGGUGGGAAAGGAGGGAUCUACGCUCAGGCUGCCACGUGAGGCAGCUGCUUUGUGGGGACUGAGUGAUGGAAGAUGUGUUCACGCUCCCACUUCCUGACUCAAGAACCUCUGAUGGUGGCGGGCUGCCCCGCCCUGCUCCCCACACUUUCCUGCCAACAGAGGCGGGCUGGGCCCUCCCCAUCCCUGCCUUUACUCCCUGGGGCUCUAGGCUGCCACUUCCUGCUCCUUAUUGAAAUGAGACUCUGAUGUGACUUUGUUCAUUGCUUGAGUUAAUUAAAGGAGAAGAUUCUAAA